RNAcentral lists this long non-coding RNA (685 nucleotides) under Sorghum bicolor (sorghum). RNAcentral describes it as "long non-coding RNA (SBIC_LNC011201)". Lineage: Eukaryota; Viridiplantae; Streptophyta; Magnoliopsida; Poales; Poaceae. The record is from RNAcentral.
CCUGAUCCCGAGCCCGAGCGGGCGAACCUCCAACCACCAACGUACGUGCCCACCAAACCCCGUACCACGGGGCGUAAACUCGGGCGCUGCCGCCGCCGUGGCCCGCGCGCGCCACGACGCGGAGCCCAACCAGAAGGAGCGCUGCAGUCUGUUGGCAGUAACUUUCUCUCACGGUAAAUUAGGUCUAGGCGUUCACCCGAAAUCUAAAAAGUUUUCAAGAUUCUUCGUCACAUCGAAUCUUACGACAUAUGCAUGAAAUAUUAAAUAUAGACAAAACAAAAACUAAUUACACAGUUUGUCUGUAAAUCGCGAGACGAAUCUUUUGAUCCUAGUUAGUUUAUGAUUGGACAAUAUUUGUCAAAUAAAAACGAAAGUACUACAGUAUCGAAAUCCGAAAUUUUUUCGGAACUAAACAAGGCCCUAGUUUCGGAACAUAUAUGAAAUAUUAAAUAAAAAUAAAAAAAUUAAUUCUACAGUUUUUCUGUAAUUUACAAGAUAAAUCUUUUCAACCUAAUUAGUCUAUAAUUAGAUAAUAAUUACCAAAUACAAACGAAAAUGCUAUCGUACCAAAAAAAUUAACAACUAAACAAAACCUUAAUGAAUAGUACUUUCAAUUAUGAAUUAUUAGCUAGGUGAACAAGCUAAUGGAUAGCAAGCGCUCACUCUGGCUAGUUUGGAAGCAAGC